This 497-nucleotide ribosomal RNA is filed under the name uncultured bacterium. RNAcentral's name for it is "partial 16S ribosomal RNA". It matches the Rfam family "Bacterial small subunit ribosomal RNA", at positions 28 to 507 of the family's 1533-position model. The record is from RNAcentral.
GAUGAACGCUGGCGGCGUGCCUAAUACAUGCAAGUCGAGCGAACAGACGAGGAGCUUGCUCCUCUGACGUUAGCGGCGGACGGGUGAGUAACACGUGGAUAACCUACCUAUAAGACUGGGAUAACUUCGGGAAACCGGAGCUAAUACCGGAUAAUAUAUUGAACCGCAUGGUUCAAUAGUGAAAGACGGUUUUGCUGUCACUUAUAGAUGGUUCCGCGCCGCAUUAGCUAGUUGGUAAGGUAACGGCUUACCAAGGCAACGAUGCGUAGCCGACCUGAGAGGGUGAUCGCCCACACUGGAACUGAGACACGGUCCAGACUCCUACGAGAGGCAGCAGUAGGGAAUCUUCCGCAAUGGGCGAAAGCCUGACGGAGCAACGCCGCGUGAGUGAUGAAGGUCUUCGGAUCGUAAAACUCUGUUAUUAGGGAAGAACAAAUGUGUAAGUAACUAUGCACGUCUUGACGGUACCUAAUCAGAAAGCCACGGCUAACUACGUG